GAUGAACGCUAGCGGCAGGCCUAACACAUGCAAGUCGAGGGGCAGCACAUAAAGUGGUUUACUACUUUUGGUGGCGACCGGCGGACGGGUGCGUAACGCGUAUGCAACCUGCCUCCAACAGGGGGAUAACGGAGAGAAAUUUCCACUAAUAACCCAUAAUACCAGAAUCGGCAUCGGUUUUGGUUGAAAACUACGGUGGUUGGAGAUGGGCAUGCGUUGUAUUAGAUAGUUGGUGAGGUAACGGCUCACCAAGUCAACGAUACAUAGGGGGACUGAGAGGUUAGCCCCCCACACUGGUACUGAGACACGGACCAGACUCCUACGGGAGGCAGCAGUGAGGAAUAUUGGUCAAUGGGGGCAACCCUGAACCAGCCAUGCCGCGUGCAGGAAGACGGCUCUAUGAGUUGUAAACUGCUUUUACAAGGGGAUAAAUCGGUGUACGUGUACACCGUUGAAGGUACCUUGGGAAUAAGGAUCGGCUAACUCCGUGCCAGCCGCCGCGGUAA
Molecule: ribosomal RNA, 506 nt
Filed under: uncultured bacterium
Lineage: Bacteria
Description: partial 16S ribosomal RNA
Rfam family: Bacterial small subunit ribosomal RNA
Source: RNAcentral